Molecule: transfer RNA, 67 nt
Filed under: Australicapitona hopei
Lineage: Eukaryota; Metazoa; Arthropoda; Insecta; Coleoptera; Carabidae
Description: tRNA-Ser
Rfam family: tRNA
About the family: Transfer RNA (tRNA) molecules are approximately 80 nucleotides in length. Their secondary structure includes four short double-helical elements and three loops (D, anti-codon, and T loops).
Source: RNAcentral
AGUUAAUGAACUUGAUUAAGUAUAUGUUUUGAAAGCAUAAUAUAGGGGUCUAACCCCCUAUUAACUU